Molecule: ribosomal RNA, 420 nt
Filed under: uncultured archaeon
Lineage: Archaea
Description: partial 16S ribosomal RNA
Rfam family: Archaeal small subunit ribosomal RNA
Source: RNAcentral
CUACGGGUCGCACCAGUUAGGCAUAAUCUACAAUGUACGCAAGUAUGAUAGUUUGAAUCAGAGUGCUUUGCUUUGCAAAGCUUUUGUGAAAUCUAAAAAGUUUUACGAAUAAGGACUGGGUAAGACGAGUGCCAGCCGCCGCGGUAAUACUCGCGGUCCAAGUCGCAGCCAUUUUUAUUGGGUCUAAAACAUCCGUAGCUUGCUUGGUAAGUUCCUUGUGAAAUCCUAUAUCUCAAGUAUGGGGCGCGCAAGGAGUACUGCUAAGCUAGAGACUGGGAGACGUAACGAGUACGUUUGAGGUAGCGGUAAAAUGUGUUAAUCUUAGACGGACUAACAAUAGCGAAGGCACGUUACGAGAACAGUUCUGACAGUAAGGGAUGAAGGCCAGGGGCGCAAAACGGAUUAGAUACCCGCGUAGUC